AUGCAUGUGGGAGCACUAGAUUCCUUGCAAGGCACAGUUACAUGGUUCUGCCAUGGUACCAAAAUGUGCGGUUUUGUCAUCCAAAUUGAUAAUGCAUGUGGAUCAUAGUUUGAUUGGUUGGAAUGAUUUCUAAUAAUUGAUCAGAUAAAUUAUUUUUUUAUUGAAAAGUUUAUUUUAUAACAAUGAUGCAUAGGUAAGAAAUCUCUAAACAUUUGAACUUUUUUCCUUCAUGAGUUUUGUUUCCAGGUGAUUUAAAUGAUUCGAAAUUUGUUGGGUGAUUUAGGUGGCUUGCCGUGUAUUUUCACAUCAUGGCAUAGCUAUUUUAGUCAUACCUUAGAAACAAUAAUAACUCCAUAUAUAUAUUCUUGUACGCAUAUAUGCAGUGAUAUAUGCAAUCCAACUGCUAGGAAUUGAGCUAAUAUUAUUGUAGGGUUCUAACAUGUCAUAAUGGGCAGCGGAAGCUAGGGAUUUUAAAAUUUUCUUAAUAAAGUCCCUUAACAUGAAACCCUUAUAAGCCUAGAUCACCUUAAUUGUAACAAUCAAAUAAUAUAUAAAUAUAAAUGUAGGAAUAGAAGAAUACCUCUAACGCUAAUCCAAUAUGAAUGAUCUCUACGAGGCGUCCAAGUGUCCGCCCUUCAAUGGUGAUCCACACGAAAACUUGAUUCAAAACUUUGGCUCCAAAGACUUUGAUACUUAAUUAAAAAUCCUUCCAAAGGAUUUAAUUUGGCUUGCUUUCUUUUCUCUCUAUUUUUCUUUCACCUUCUAAAAUCACUUCUAAUCUUUUUGUCCUAAAGAAGACCACCUUGUCUUGGCUUAGGACACACUAGAAGCAAUGCUAGAAAGAAGGAACUAAUGUAAGAAAGAAAGAAGAGAGGAGUGCGGUGGAGUUGGAAUUGAUUUCCGAUGGAUGACAUACGGUGGAAUGGCUCCCCUUUUAUGGAUGGCGUACGGAUGCAUGUUAAAGGGACACAUCUCAUCCACAUGUCCCUUGAUGAAGGGGCGUGAUCACUCAUGAAGGGCGCUUAUCAAAAAAGGGGAGGCGUAUCCAUGAAGAGGCGUGAUAAGAUGAAGCGCUAGAUAAGGUGCUUCAUUCUUAUCCAAACGCCAUGUGGUCCCCUCCCUUCUCACGCCAUCACAAAAGGUUCUUCACGCCAUCAGAUAAGAUCAAAUCCUUCUCAAGUUGACCAAGUCAAAAUCAUAUGCAAAUCACAUGCCCAUCAUGCCAUCUCAUCAUCACAUGAUGAAGAUCUAAAGGCUCCAAUGCAAGGCGCCAUUAUGUCUUCAUCCAAUGGUGGAGUGAAGAUCCAAUGGCUCUAAUUCAAGGUGCCCCAUCAUGAUCACAUUAUCUAUUCAUCCAAUGGCUGAUGAAGAUCAAAUGGUCAUGAUUAAAAGCCACAUCUAACCCAAUCCAAUUGGGUUCAAAUCAACUCACCAUUAUGUCUUCAUCCAAUGGUAGAUGAAGAUCUAACGGUCUAAAAUGAAUGAUUUAUCAAAUCUAAUCCAAUUAGACUCAAACCAAACCAAUUUAGUGCCAACUCUUGGCUAACUCAUA
RNAcentral lists this long non-coding RNA (1552 nucleotides) under Phoenix dactylifera (date palm). Its description in RNAcentral is "long non-coding RNA (PDAC_LNC013902)". Lineage: Eukaryota; Viridiplantae; Streptophyta; Magnoliopsida; Arecales; Arecaceae. The record is from RNAcentral.